UACAUAUAAAUCGUUUAAAAACAUUUCAUUUACAAAAUGCAAAAUAAGAAAAAUAUGACUAAAAUCGACAUGUUUAUUUAUGCUUUGAUCAUCAUUUUUAUUACGUUUUUUGUUGAAUCCUUUGCUGAUAAGAAAUAUUUGAAAACUAAUAUCCCUUGCAGAUAUAACAAGGAUUGUCCACCACUACUAAAAAAUUCAGAUUAUGUUUGGCUAUGCAAAGAAAAAUUUUGUGUUAAAAUUGCUGGAGGAUUAUUGUACCCGGACGCACAAGGAUAAAUAAGGAUUUUUUUUUUUUUUUGAUGUACAAGGAUGGUUUUUAUUAGUUUAUAAUCUAAAUAAGGCAUCUUAACAAACCGAUUCCAUGUUUCCCCCGAAUUUCAUCAGUUCCAGAUAUAGAUAUUAGUUGUAAUUUCAAUAUGUUAUUCUUUGCUGAAAGAAAACAAUUGUUAAUAAAGUUUUCUAAGUAAUUUCUUGGAUCUGUAACAAUUUUAUGAGUUAAUUAAAUUUAUACUUUUCAAGAUA
Trifolium pratense (red clover) is the source of this 522-nucleotide long non-coding RNA. RefSeq lists it as uncharacterized. Lineage: Eukaryota; Viridiplantae; Streptophyta; Magnoliopsida; Fabales; Fabaceae. The record is from RefSeq and is a predicted model, not a curated record. The transcript is spliced from 3 exons.